AUACGGAGGGUGCAAGCGUUGUUCGGAAUCAUUGGGCGUAAAGCGCGCGUAGGCGGCUUGGCAAGUCGGAUGUGAAAUCCCGGGGCCCAACCCCGGAACUGCAUUCGAUACUGCCUAGCUAGAGUCCCGGAGAGGAAGGCAGAAUUCCCGGUGUAGAGGUGAAAUUCGUAGAUAUCGGGAGGAACACCAGUGGCGAAGGCGGCCACCUGGACGAUGACUGACGCUCAGACCCAAAAGCGUGGGGAGCAAACAGAAUUAGAAACCCGGGUAGUCC
This 274-nucleotide ribosomal RNA is filed under the name uncultured bacterium. RNAcentral's name for it is "partial 16S ribosomal RNA". It matches the Rfam family "Bacterial small subunit ribosomal RNA", at positions 523 to 796 of the family's 1533-position model. The record is from RNAcentral.